GGAGGGCGCAAGCGUUGUUCGGAAUCACUGGGCGUAAAGCGCGUGUAGGCGGCCGGGCAAGUCGGAUGUGAAAUCCCGAGGCUCAACCUCGGAACUGCAUUCGAAACUGCUCGGCUCGAGUCCCGGAGAGGAUGGCGGAAUUCCCGGUGUAGGGGUGAAAUCCGUAGAUAUCGGGAGGAACACCAGUGGCGAAGGCGGCCAUCUGGACGGUGACUGACGCUGAGACGCGAAAGCGUGGGGAGCAAACAGGAUUAGAUACCCUGGUAGUCCACGCCGUAAACGGUGAGUGCUAGACGUCGCGGGUAUUGACCCCCGCGGUGUCGAAGCUAACGCGUUAAGCACUCCGCCUGGGGAGUACGGCCGCAAGGCUAAA
RNAcentral lists this ribosomal RNA (373 nucleotides) under uncultured bacterium. RNAcentral describes it as "bacterial SSU rRNA". It matches the Rfam family "Bacterial small subunit ribosomal RNA", at positions 527 to 898 of the family's 1533-position model. The record is from RNAcentral.